Molecule: ribosomal RNA, 2739 nt
Filed under: Triticum aestivum (bread wheat)
Lineage: Eukaryota; Viridiplantae; Streptophyta; Magnoliopsida; Poales; Poaceae
Description: partial small subunit ribosomal RNA
Source: RNAcentral
AUGGAGGAGAUCAUUAAGCAGCUGAUUAAGAAAGGUGAAAUUCAGGAUAGUUUCAGCCCUUUUUCCUCACCUGCAAUUAUGGUCAGGAAGAAAGAUGGAGGAUGGAGACUUUGUGUAGAUCACAGAGAGCUCAAUGCAAUCACAGUUAAGAACAAGUUUCCUAUGCCUAUCAUUGAAGACCUCAUAGAUGAACUACAUGGAGCUAGAGUGUUUUCAAAAUUAUAUCUCAGGUCUGGAUACCACCAAAUUAGGAUGAGUAUAGAGGAUAUUCCAAAAACUGAUUUCAGAACACAUAUGGGUCAUUAUGAAUACAAGGUGGUUCCUUUUGGAUUAUCCUGUGGACCUGGGACAUUCCAAGGACUAAUGAACACAGUGUGUGAGGAGAUAAAUGCACCUGAGACAGAGAAAAUCAUAUUAGAUUUCUUUGAUGAUAUGUUAGUGUUCAGUAAGAUAGUGGAAGAACACUAUGCACACUUAGAAAGAACUUUUGCUGCUCUGAAGAAACAUGAAUUGUAUGUCAAAUUGUCCAAGUGCACAUUUGCAACAAAUCAUGUGUCUUAUUUGGGGCAUAUCAUUUCAGAGCAAGGAGUAGCUACUGACCCAGGCAAGAUACAAGCAGUGGUGAAUUGGCCAACCCCAGGAAAUGUGAAGCAACUCAGGGGCUUCCUAGGACUGACUGGCUAUUACAGAAGAUUUGUCAAAGAUUAUGGGCAAAUAUGCAGGCCUCUCCAUGACAUGCUCAGAAAAGAUGCUUUUCAGUGGGGUCCUGAUCAAGACAAAGCUUUUCAAACCCUGAAGAUUGCAAUGACCAGUUGUCCAGUACUAACACUGCCAGACUUCACUAUGCCUUUUACAAUUGAGGCAGAUGCUUGUGCAAAAGGGAUUGGGGCAGUGUUAAUGCAAAAGGGCAGGCCAAUUGCCUUCCUGAGCAAAAGUUUGGGUCCCAAAUCUGCUGCCCUAUCUAUCUAUGAGAAAGAAGCCAUGGCCAUAUUAGAAGCAUUAAAAAAGUGGAGACACUAUGUAUGGGGUAACAAACUAAUAAUCAAAACAGAUCAACAAGCUUUGAAAUAUAUGGCAACACAGAGAUUGACUGAAGGAGUACAACACAAACUAUUACUGAAACUCCUGGAGUAUGAUUACACAAUUGAAUACAAGAAGGGAAAGGAAAAUACAGUGGCAGAUGCCCUAUCCAGAAGGGACAGUGUGUACUCCAUGCAAUGUCAUAAUGCCACUGUGGUCAUUCCUACUUGGACUGAAGAUCUAAAGAACAGCUACCAAGGAGAUCAAGACACUGACAAGAUACUCAAGAAGGUGGCCACAGAUAAUGAGGAUCCACCAAAGUUUGCCACUCACCAAGGCUUGUUGAAAUACAAGAACAGACUGUAUGUAGGAGCUACCACUGAUUUCAGACAGCAGUUACUGCACACCUUUCACUCUUCUGCUUUAGGAGGUCAUUCUGGAGUUAAAGCAACAUACCACAGGAUUAAAAAAGUGUUCUACUGGCCAAAUAUGAAAAAGGAUAUUGAAGUGUUUGUCAGCCAGUGUCCAAUUUGUCAGUUAAACAAAGUGGAACAUCUGCAUCCUCCUGGACUACUACAGCCAUUACCUGUACCUGACAUGGCAUGGGCUCAUAUCACCAUGGAUUUCAUCACAGCUCUUCCAAAUUCUCAGGGAAAGGAAGUCAUUCUAGUGGUGGAGGAUAGGUUUACUAAAUAUGCACAUUUCCUGCCACUAGCUCACCCUUACUCAGUGCAAACAGUUUUGGACACUUUAAUGGACAAUGUCAUCAAGCUACACGGCCUUCCUGUGUGCAUUGUGUCAGACAGGGACCCUAUUUUCACCAGUGCUCUCUAUCAGGAACUGUUUAAGGCUUUUGGGGUACAAAUCAGGUUCAGUACUGCAUCUCAUCCUCAAACAGAUGGCCAGUCUGAACGAGUGAACCAGUGUCUAGAAGCAUACCUAAGAGGAAUGGUUUUUCAAGAACCAAAGAAAUGGAUGAAGUGGUUACCACUGGCUGAAUUAUGGUACAAUACCAGUUAUCACACGUCAUUGAAAUGCACACCAUUUCAAGCCUUGUAUGGAUACAAACCACCUCAAGUAGCAGAAUUUGCAAUAGAUCCAACACUAUCUUCAGAGGCAGCAAUAACAAUCACUUCUAGAGAACACAUGGUACAGAGACUAAAGGCCAACCUGGAGCAUGCUCAAGGCAGAAUCAAGUAUUUUGCAGAUCAGAAAAGAACAGAGAGGCAACUGGAAGUGGGAGAUUUGGUAUACUUGAAGAUUCAGCCUUAUAGACAAAAUGCUUUUGGACUAAGAGGAUCUCUCAAACCGCGAUCGAAAUUCUAUGGACCAUACAAGAUUUUGGAACGAGUUGGGGCAGUUUCUUACAAACUUCAAGUACCAGAGGGCACUAAUAUACACCCCGUUUUCCACAUCAGCCAGUUGAAGAAGCACAUCGGCCAUAGGGCAGUACCAUUACCUCACGUUCCUUUGGUCACUCCGGAUGGAUAUGUCAAAACAAUUCCAGUGGCAGUUCUGGAUCGUCGAGUGAUCCAACGCAACAAGACUCCAGUGGGGCAGUGUUUGGUGCAAUGGGAAAGUCUGGCCCCGGAUGACGCAACAUGGGAAGAUGCAGCAUUUCUCAACAAGACCUUUCCAGGGCAUAAACUUUUCCGCCUCGAGGACAAGGCGGUCGUCAAGGCGGCGGCAUUGUCAGGACUUGCACCAUGCGACUACUGA